Molecule: long non-coding RNA, 358 nt
Filed under: Vitis vinifera (wine grape)
Lineage: Eukaryota; Viridiplantae; Streptophyta; Magnoliopsida; Vitales; Vitaceae
Description: long non-coding RNA (VVIN_LNC008274)
Source: RNAcentral
ACUGAUGAGAGGGAAUUCCUUUGGAAGAGGGUAAUUGCAAGGACAUUUGGGGAAAAAGAGGGAGAGAAUUGAAGUCAAGAGGCAUAAGGGAAGGGUGUGGGGUGGGUUUGUGGAAGGCAAUUAGAAGUUGGUGGGAGGUCUUUAAUAGUAGAAUAGGUUUUAUGGUAGGCAAUGGAUGGAGGUGAGUUUUCUUUUUGCGCAUUUUUCUUUUUGGUUACAGUUGUAAGGGGGUGAGUUUCUUGUUCUUGUACAUUUUGGGCCGUUAUUUUUUUUUUUAUAGGUAAAUUUUUGUCCCCAUUAGGACUUGAACCUGGAACCUCCCACAAACCCUCCCCAUCUCUUUACCACUUGCGUCAGG